UGAGUAACACGUGGAUAACCUACCUAUAAGACUGGGAUAACUUCGGGAAACCGGAGCUAAUACCGGAUAAUAUUUUGAACCGCAUGGUUCAAAAGUGAAAGACGGUCUUGCUGUCACUUAUAGAUGGAUCCGCGCUGCAUUAGCUAGUUGGUAAGGUAACGGCUUACCAAGGCAACGAUGCAUAGCCGACCUGAGAGGGUGAUCGGCCACACUGGAACUGAGACACGGUCCAG
RNAcentral lists this ribosomal RNA (233 nucleotides) under uncultured Staphylococcus sp. RNAcentral's name for it is "partial 16S ribosomal RNA". It matches the Rfam family "Bacterial small subunit ribosomal RNA", at positions 107 to 334 of the family's 1533-position model. The record is from RNAcentral. Lineage: Bacteria; Bacillati; Bacillota; Bacilli; Caryophanales; Staphylococcaceae.